CCUCAAAAAUCUACUUGGAGCUUCAUUUUACGGUGUCUGAGCUUGUACAAGACAAAGUUAUAUGACAAAGUCCUUUUUACCAUUUCCUCUUCUUUCCUCAAGCAGAAAGAAUCUCUUCACAUGGCCAUCGCCAGGACCCUGGCAAUAAGUGCCUAGCUACCACUGAUAUUUAUUUCAAGCCCAAGGUCUCUUUGGUCAGCAGAUGGUGAACCCUGCCAGGACUUCCCAACACUACACAAAAGGAGUCUCUUUCAGAGCUGCAAGCUGUGCUUUCUGGAGUUAGGAGAGAGGAGGGGACAAUCACUGGAGGGUUCACUUGGCCACCUUGCUCCACCUCUCCAAUCAGCAAUAAAAUAUUUUUAAAUUAAGGUAUGUAUAUUGAUUUUCAGACAUAAUGCUGUU
RNAcentral lists this long non-coding RNA (402 nucleotides) under Callithrix jacchus (white-tufted-ear marmoset). Its description in RNAcentral is "lncRNA (ENSCJAG00000075595.1)". Lineage: Eukaryota; Metazoa; Chordata; Mammalia; Primates; Cebidae. The record is from RNAcentral.